This 899-nucleotide ribosomal RNA is filed under the name Halomonas sp. 13(2010). RNAcentral describes it as "bacterial SSU rRNA". It matches the Rfam family "Bacterial small subunit ribosomal RNA", at positions 77 to 980 of the family's 1533-position model. The record is from RNAcentral. Lineage: Bacteria; Pseudomonadati; Pseudomonadota; Gammaproteobacteria; Oceanospirillales; Halomonadaceae.
CUUGCUGGAUGCUGACGAGCGGCGGACGGGUGAGUAAUGCAUAGGAAUCUGCCCGAUAGUGGGGGAUAACCUGGGGAAACCCAGGCUAAUACCGCAUACGUCCUACGGGAGAAAGGGGGCUCCGGCUCCCGCUAUGGGAUGAGCCUAUGUCGGAUUAGCUAGUUGGUGAGGUAACGGCUCACCAAGGCCACGAUCCGUAGCUGGUCUGAGAGGAUGAUCAGCCACAUCGGGACUGAGACACGGCCCGAACUCCUACGGGAGGCAGCAGUGGGGAAUAUUGGACAAUGGGGGAAACCCUGAUCCAGCCAUGCCGCGUGUGUGAAGAAGGCCCUCGGGUUGUAAAGCACUUUCAGCGAGGAAGAACGCCUAGCGGUUAAUACCCGCUAGGAAAGACAUCACUCGCAGAAGAAGCACCGGCUAACUCCGUGCCAGCAGCCGCGGUAAUACGGAGGGUGCAAGCGUUAAUCGGAAUUACUGGGCGUAAAGCGCGCGUAGGUGGCUUGAUAAGCCGGUUGUGAAAGCCCCGGGCUCAACCUGGGAACGGCAUCCGGAACUGUCAAGCUAGAGUGCAGGAGAGGAAGGUAGAAUUCCCGGUGUAGCGGUGAAAUGCGUAGAGAUCGGGAGGAAUACCAGUGGCGAAGGCGGCCUUCUGGACUGACACUGACACUGAGGUGCGAAAGCGUGGGUAGCAAACAGGAUUAGAUACCCUGGUAGUCCACGCCGUAAACGAUGUCGACCAGCCGUUGGGUGCCUAGCGCACUUUGUGGCGAAGUUAACGCGAUAAGUCGACCGCCUGGGGAGUACGGCCGCAAGGUUAAAACUCAAAUGAAUUGACGGGGGCCCGCACAAGCGGUGGAGCAUGUGGUUUAAUUCGAUGCAACGCGAGACCUUACCUACUC